RNAcentral lists this ribosomal RNA (585 nucleotides) under uncultured bacterium. Its description in RNAcentral is "partial 16S ribosomal RNA". It matches the Rfam family "Bacterial small subunit ribosomal RNA", at positions 355 to 1375 of the family's 1533-position model. The record is from RNAcentral.
UGGGGAAUUUUGGACAAUGGGCGAAAGCCUGAUCCAGCAAUGCCGCGUGUGUGAAGAAGGCCUUCGGGUUGUAAAGCACUUUUGUCCGGAAAGAAAUCCUUGGCUCUAAUACAGUCGGGGGAUGACGGUACCGGAAGAAUAAGCACCGGCUAACUACGUGCCAGCAGCCGCGGUAAUACGUAGGGUGCAAGCGUUAAUCGGAAUUACUGGGCGUAAAGCGUGCGCAGGCGGUUUGCUAAGACCGAUGUGAAAUCCCCGGGCUCAACCUGGGAACUGCAUUGGUGACUGGCAGGCUAGAGUAUGGCAGAGGGGGGUAGAAUUCCACGUGUAGCAGUGAAAUGCGUAGAGAUGUGGAGGAAUACCGAUGGCGAAGGCAGCCCCCUGGGCCAAUACUGACGCUCAUGCACGAAAGCGUGGGGAGCAAACAGGAUUAGAUACCCUGGUAGUCCACGCCCUAAACGAUGUAAACUAGUUGUUGGGGAUUCAUUUCCUUAGUAACGUAGCUAACGCGUGAAGUUGACCGCCUGGGGAGUACGGUCGCAAGAUUAAAACUUAAAGGAAUUGACGGGGUCAUAGCUGUUUCCU